AGGGUAGUAGUUCAAUUGGUAGAGCAGCGGUCUCCAAAACCGCAAGUUGUGGGUUCGAGCCCCUCCUACCCUGCCA
RNAcentral lists this transfer RNA (76 nucleotides) under Neoakkermansia glycaniphila. Its description in RNAcentral is "tRNA-Trp". It matches the Rfam family "tRNA". From Rfam's summary of the family: Transfer RNA (tRNA) molecules are approximately 80 nucleotides in length. The record is from RNAcentral. RNAcentral also lists the same sequence under 2 other names. Lineage: Bacteria; Pseudomonadati; Verrucomicrobiota; Verrucomicrobiia; Verrucomicrobiales; Akkermansiaceae.